CAAAGGACCACAGCCCGGUGACCAUAGGACAUUCCCAGCAGAUGAGGCAGCCUCCAUUAAAAAGCAACAUGGAUUCUCAUCCCCAGAUGUCUGAGAGAUAAGUUCAGGGCUAAGGCCCACAGAGGGGAUGAAAGCAAAGUGCUGGGAGGGCCUUUUGAAACAGCUUUGGGGGCGGGGAUGUUUGAGAAGUGUCCCCUUAGACCCUCUAAAGGGAAAGUGUCCGUUUUGAUCACAGUGCUGAGGUGCGCAGGGCAGAGCAGUUCCGGUGUGUGUCCUGUCACUUGUCUCUGGUGCACUCUGUGUUCUUUGGGUCUCUGAGUCCUUUCUUCUUGUCGAAAGCUCUCGCUCCCUGUCCUGUCCCCUCGAUGGUCAUGUCCUGUCCUGUGUCACGGGUGUCUGCACGUAUUUGUCCUGGAGCUGCUCUGCCCUGCUGCCUAGCCUGUAAUAGCACAAGUCCUGGGGACUUGAAAUUGGUAAUGCAGGGUGUAUUUGGGCUCUAGUUUUUAUUUGUUGAUUGCCCUAACAUUUCUGGUGCUGUUAAGUUGUCCUGCAGCUGUUUUACACUAGUCCUAACUUCCUUUCAGAUGCAGACAGUUCAAAUAAGUGGCAGAGAGCCCCAGUGCUGGGUGAGGGUGUUGCCAUGAGCAGGUCAGUCAUUGUUUGCAUUUGCAAGGGAAGCCUAAAUGGUUACUGUGUUACAGCAGUGUUCUUUGCCUUUUUUUUAGGAGGUCCAGGCAGAUAGCAGCAGUGAAGGCCCAGUGUGCCAGGUGAGCAGUGGACAGAAGCAGUUGUUCUUGCUCAGGUCUCAAUGUUUGGUGCAACUCUAAGCAUCCAUUCUUGUUUGUGUGCUUUAGGGAAGCCACUUGGAGUAUGCCAAGCUCCUCUCACCAGCUGGCCGAUGGACUUCCUGCGCUUGUGAGUCCUCUGGAAGUAUUUCAGGACUCUUGAGAUGAAGCCUUGAAAUUUUGUAUUUCAAGAUGGCAUCCGGGUAGCCUUUGGCAAUGGCCAAGGAGCUGUGGCAGACGAUGAGAGAUGACGAUGGCAGCCUCUGAGCAUUGCCAAAGUGUGGGGCCCGAGCAACCAGGCAUUCGUACGAGAUCGCUGAGCACGGGACUACAGCCCGGUGACCAUAGGACAUUCCCAGCAGACGAGGCAGCCUCCAUUAAAAAGCGACAUGGAUUCUCAUCCCCAGAUGCCCAAGAGAUAAGUCGAGGGCUAGGGCCCACGGAGGGGACGAAAGUGAGGUGGUGGGAGGGCCUUUUGAAUCGGCUCUGGGGGUGGGGAUGUUUGAGAAGUGUCCCUUUAGGCCACCUGAAGGGAAAAUGCUUCUUUUGAUCACAGUGCUGAGGUGCGCAGGGCAGAGCAGUUCCGGUGUGUGUCCUGUCACUUGUCUCUGGUGCACUCUGUGUUCUUUGGGUCUCCGAGUCCUUUCUUCUUGUCGAAAGCUCUCGCUCCCUGUCCUGUCCCCUCGAUUGUCAUGUCCUGUCCUGUGUCACGGGUGUCUGCACGUAUUUGUCCCGGAGCUGCUCUGCCCUGCUGCCUAGCCUGUAACAGCACAAGUCCUGGGGACUUGAAAUUGGUAAUGCAGGGUGUAUUUGGGCUCUAGUUUUUAUUUGUUGAUUGCCCUAACAUUUUUGGUUCUAUUAAGUUGUCCUGCAGCUGUUUCACACUAGUCCUAACUUCCUUUCAGAUGCAGACAGUUCAAAUCAGUGGCAGAGAGCCCCAGUGCUCGGUGAGGGUGUUGCCAUGAGCAGGUCAGUCAUUGUUUGCAUUUGCAGGGGGAGCCUGAAUGGUGACUGUUACAGCAGUGUUCUUUGACUUCAUUUUUAGGAGGUCCAGGCAGAUAGCAGCAGUGAAGGCCCAGUGUGCCAGGUGAGCAGUGGACAGAAGCAGUUGUUCUUGCUCAGGUCUCAAUGUUUGGUGCAACUCUAAGCAUCCAUUCUUGUUUUUGUGCUUUAGGGAAUCAUCUCAGUGUGCGCAUACCUUUGUCACCAACUGGCUGAUGGACCAGGUUUCAUGCACUUGUGAUCUCGCUGGAAGCAUUGCAGGACCCUGUGAUGGACCUUCCAGUUUUGCAUUUCAAGGCCCCAUCCUGGUAGCCCAGAGGAAUGGCUGAGCAGUUGCAGUGAGUCGGGGAAGUCGGGAGGAGGAGUGAGAGUCCACUUGUGUUUCAGCAAUGCCAUGUUGCCUUGUCUCCACUUAACCUAGGUGUACCCUGCAAUGACGGCGUCAGAAUCCAAGCACGCCCGACGCGUGCAGGCCAAGAACCCGGGCAUUCUGAGGAGGAUGACCAAGAAGUGACAGCUAUAACUUACCAGGCAGGCAGACGGCGUCCUUCUGCAGCCAACAGGGAUUUGCAUCCCCAGAUGUGUGCAAGAUAAGUGGAGGGUCAUGACCCACAGAGGGGAUAAAAGCAGGGUGCUGGGUUGGGCCUUUCUAGAAGGGCUUUUGAUGUCCAAGAAGCGUAUACUUAGUCCACCUAAAGGGAAAGUGUCUGUUUUAAUCACAGUGCUGAGGUGCGCAGGGCAGAGCAGUUCUGGUGUGUUUCCUGUCACUUGUCUCUGGUGCACUCUGUGUUCUUUGGGUCUCUGAGUCCUUUCUUCUUGUCGAAAGCUCUCGCUCCCUGUCCUGUCCCCUCGAUGGUCGUGUCCUGUCCUGUGUCACGGGUGUCUGCACGUAUUUGUCCCGGAGCUGCUCUGCCCUGCUGCCUAGCCCGUAAUAGCACAAGUCCUGGGGACUUGAAAUUGGUAAUGCAGGGUGUAUUUGGGCUCUAGCUUGUGUCCAUUGUUUGCCCUAACAUUUUUGGUGCUGUUAAGUUGUCCUGCAGCUGUUUCACACUAGUCCUAACAUCCUUUCAGAUGCAGACAGUUCAAAUCAGUGGCAGAGAGCCCCAAUGCUGGGUGAGGGUGUUGCCAUGAGCAGGUCAGUCAUUGUUUGCAUUUGCAAGGGAAGCCUAAAUGGUUACUGUGUUACAGCAGUGUUCUUUGCCUUUUUUUUAGGAGGUCCAGGCAGAUAGCAGCAGUGAAGGCCCAGUGUGCCAGGUGAGCAGUGGACAGAAGCAGUUGUUCUUGCUCAGGUCUCAAUGUUUGGUGCAACUCUAAGCAUCCAUUCUUGUUUGUGUGCUUUAGGGAAGCCACUUGGAGUAUGCCAAGCUCCUCUCACCAGCUGGCCGAUGGACUUCCUGCGCUUGUGAGUCCUCUGGAAGUAUUUCAGGACUCUUGAGAUGAAGCCUUGAAAUUUUGUAUUUCAAGAUGGCAUCCGGGUAGCCUUUGGCAAUGGCCAAGGAGCUGUGGCAGACGAUGAGAGAUGACGAUGGCAGCCUCUGAGCAUUGCCAAAGUGUGGGGCCCGAGCAACCAGGCAUUCGUACGAGAUCGCUGAGCACGGGACUACAGCCCGGUGACCAUAGGACAUUCCCAGCAGACGAGGCAGCCUCCAUUAAAAAGCGACAUGGAUUCUCAUCCCCAGAUGCCCAAGAGAUAAGUCGAGGGCUAGGGCCCACGGAGGGGACAAAAGUGAGGUGGUGGGAGGGCCUUUUGAAUCGGCUCUGGGGGUGGGGAUGUUUGAGAAGUGUCCCUUUAGGCCACCUGAAGGGAAAAUGCUUCUUUUGAUCACAGUGCUGAGGUGCGCAGGGCAGAGCAGUUCCGGUGUGUGUCCUGUCACUUGUCUCUGGUGCACUCUGUGUUCUUUGGGUCUCCGAGUCCUUUCUUCUUGUCGAAAGCUCUCGCUCCCUGUCCUGUCCCCUCGAUUGUCAUGUCCUGUCCUGUGUCACGGGUGUCUGCACAUAUUUGUCCUGGAGCUGCUCUGCCCUGCUGCCUAGCCUGUAACAGCACAAGUCCUGGGGACUUGAAAUUGGUAAUGCAGGGUGUAUUUGGGCUCUAGUUUUUAUUUGUUGAUUGCCCUAACAUUUUUGGUUCUGUUAAGUUGUCCUGCAGCUGUUUCACACUAGUCCUAACAUCCUUUCAGAUGCAGACAGUUCAAAUCAGUGGCAGAGAGCCCCAGUGCUCGGUGAGGGUGUUGCCAUGAGCAGGAGGUCCAGGCAGAUAGCAGCAGUCAAGGCCCAAUGUCCAAGGGGAGCAGUGGACAGAAGCAGUUGUUUUUACUCAGCUUUCGGUUUCUGGUGCAAUUCUAAGCAUCCUUUCUCAUUUUUGUGCUUUAGGGAAUCGACUCGGAGUACUCAUACCUCCAUCACCAACUGGCCAACGGACCGGUGCCAGGAGCGUGGCUUCUCGUUUUCCAGCCUUCCUUGCUGUGGUGGUUUUGAGGAACUUACUGGAUGGUUUUCUUUUGUUCAUAGUUGGUGUAGGAGAAGGGCCAUGGUGUGCUUUUUGCUUGUUACGGUUCUUGCUUCAGGUGCUCAUGACAAGUGUUUUUUUUGGGUUGAGUCUUGUGGUUGGAUUUCUUUUUGAUGGGUUCUUAUGUUUUUGAAGGAUGUGUUUUUAAAGGUUUAUAAUGUUUUUUAUGGGUCAUAGCAUGAAGUAGAGGGUAGGUUUUUAAUUCGGCUGUGGAGGCUUUUAUUGGCAUGAGUAUGUAGUGGUUUAUUUUGGUUGGUUUGAGGUAGUGUCCUGUAGUUAAUUAUUGAGGUUUUUUCAAUAUUGAUAAUUGCAUUCUUGUUUAUUAUGUUGUAGGGGUUUUAUUUGUCUUGUUUGAUUGCUUUGUGUGUUUUAUUGUCUCAGACAAUUUGGGAGUUAUUAUUUAUGGUUACUUUUCUCUUUUGGUGACAUGUUUAUUUCUAGGUGGUAUUUGUGUUUUGAUGGUUUAAGGCAUUCUGAGGUCCUUGAGUUAGGAAUUAUUAUUUUGUUGUUGUGAAUAUAUAUUUUUUUUUGUAGUUGGAUGUAUUUGUUGGUUUUUAUUAGUUUGAUUUUUGGGAACAUGGGUAUUUCUAUGGUGGAUCUUUAUAGCUAGGUAUUUUAUUUGGGUGGUGAGUUUUUUGUUUCUUCAUGGUUUCGAUUUUUUUUAUAUCUGUAAUUAUUUGGGGGGAGUUUAGUUAAUUUUUUAGAGUAUUGGGUUCUCUUGAUGAGUUAGUGUAGUGGUAGGGUAUUGUUUGGGUUUUUUUUAGAAACAUUUGGGAUCUGUUGUAUGGUUUGGAGUAUAAGAGGUUAGUUGAAGAGUUUUUUUUCUUUUUAGUGUUUUUUUUUGUUUUGUGUGGGUUUUUAUAGGUGGGUUUUUUUAAUUAAUGUUCCAUUUUUGUUAUGUGAUAAGAACUGUUAGUGAAAGGAGCGUAGUGGGGUUUUUUUUGCUGGUAGUUGGUUGGCUGGUGGAGCCUUUCUGAAUUUUUUGGAUGGUAUUCUUGGUUAUUCGAUGCUGUUUGUUAUGGCAUUUUAUUUUUAGGAAUUGGAUUAUAACUGCAGAGUUCUAACUGUAACUCUAAUGAAACAAAACACAUGCAUAAAUAUGAAAAUGGGAAUAUAAAACUUCAAUUUUAAAUAUAAAUGGAAAACAUAUGAAUAAAACAUGUAACAUGAA
Taeniopygia guttata (zebra finch) is the source of this 5464-nucleotide non-coding RNA. The record is from RefSeq and is a predicted model, not a curated record. Lineage: Eukaryota; Metazoa; Chordata; Aves; Passeriformes; Estrildidae.